GAAAUGCGAUAAGUAAUGUGAAUUGCAGAAUUCAGUGAAUCAUCGAAUCUUUGAACGCAUCUUGCGCUCCUUGGUAUUCCUUGGAGCACGCCUGUUUGAGUAUCAUGAAAUCUACAAAGUAAAUCUUUUGUUAACUCAAUUGGUUUCUACUUUGGUAUUGGAGGUCUUUGCAGCUUCACACCUGCUCCUCUUUGUUCAUUAGCUGGAUCUCAGUGUUAUGCUUGGUUCCACUCGGCGUGAUAAGUUAUCUAUCGCUGAGGACACUGUAAAAGGUGGCCAAGGUAAAUGCAGAUGAACCGCUUCUAAUAGUCCAUUGACUUGGACAAUACUUUUAUGAUCUGAUCUCAAAUCAGGUAGGACUACCCGCUGAACUUAAGC
Molecule: unclassified non-coding RNA, 378 nt
Filed under: plant metagenome
Description: partial contains 5.8S ribosomal RNA, internal transcribed spacer 2, and large subunit ribosomal RNA
Rfam family: 5.8S ribosomal RNA (bases 1-105)
Source: RNAcentral